This 253-nucleotide ribosomal RNA is filed under the name uncultured bacterium. RNAcentral's name for it is "partial 16S ribosomal RNA". It matches the Rfam family "Bacterial small subunit ribosomal RNA", at positions 524 to 776 of the family's 1533-position model. The record is from RNAcentral.
UACGGAGGAGGCAAGCGUUAUCCGGAAUUAUUGGGCGUAAAGCGUCCGCAGGUGGCACCUCAAGUCUGCUGUCAAAGACCGGGGCUUAACCCCAGAAAGGCAGUGGAAACUGAAGUGCUAGAGUGCAGUAGGGGUAGAGGGAAUUCCCGGUGUAGCGGUGAAAUGCGUAGAGAUCGGGAAGAACAUCGGUGGCGAAAGCGCUCUGCUGGACCUUAACUGACACUGAGGGACGAAAGCUAGGGGAGCGAAUGGG